CAAUUUUUCUGUACGUCUUUCCCC
This 24-nucleotide non-coding RNA is filed under the name Arabidopsis thaliana (thale cress). Lineage: Eukaryota; Viridiplantae; Streptophyta; Magnoliopsida; Brassicales; Brassicaceae. The record is from RNAcentral.